CAUUUACCCUAAUCUCUUUCUCUCAAUCGCAGGAAGCCAUUCAUGAUUCAACAAUUAAUCAGCCACCGUGAGAUCGAUGGCUUCCUUUUCAUCAACAGUGGCAGUGCUCUCCUUUUUUCCCCCAUCAUCAACGGCAUCCUCUUCAGUCUUUAUCAACAGCUGGGAAGGGAUGUUCUCCAUGAGGGUAAAGUUUAAUUGCUUAUGUUGAAUUUUUAUUGCUGGAAAGGGAUUUUUAGCCCCGGUUGCUCUUUGUCCCAUUCCUUUCUAUUUCCCCUUCUUUUCUCUCCCUUAUAAGACUAUGAUGAUCUGUUAAUUAAAAUGCAAUCUCUUCCUUGUUGAUCUGUGUUUUUAGCCCCGGCUCCCUUUAUGUAAUUGAUGGUGUUUGUGUCUUAUUUUUAGUCGAUGCUUGAGAUGUUGAAAAGAGAUUGCAUUUUAAUAUUUUGUCCACAAUAGAUGUAGGAGGAAAUUCUCGAGUUCACGAUCUGGACAUAUCUUAAGGUUGUGGUAAAGGCAAGAAGAUAAAAUGUUCUUUUUAACCUCUAUUAAAAUUCAAUGAUUCGGCCAGAUUUGACAUUUUAUUACAGGAUUCUAGUCUACUUCAAUUGUUCUUAAUGUCAUGCCUUCUUCUUGUUCUUACAAUUCAAUCAUUCCAUAAUCUUGUUUUAUCUCAGCAUAUUAAUCUGUGGAUUGUAUCACAUAUGUCCUCUUUGUACAAUAUGGUAUCGUUUCUUGAGUAAAGAUGGAAUCCACUGGCUUUGCUGGAUAUUUUUUCAUUGUAUUAUGACCAUCAGUUUCUUUUGUUUUGAAUCAUAUCUGUUGGCGAUGUCAUCUUCUUGUGAACUAUGGAAUUUAUACACCACCCGCUUUAGCCUCAUGGAUUUUGAUAGUGAUAUUUUUCAG
This 900-nucleotide long non-coding RNA is filed under the name Populus trichocarpa (black cottonwood). RNAcentral describes it as "long non-coding RNA (PTRI_LNC002741)". Lineage: Eukaryota; Viridiplantae; Streptophyta; Magnoliopsida; Malpighiales; Salicaceae. The record is from RNAcentral.